This 328-nucleotide ribosomal RNA is filed under the name uncultured bacterium. RNAcentral's name for it is "bacterial SSU rRNA". It matches the Rfam family "Bacterial small subunit ribosomal RNA", at positions 588 to 916 of the family's 1533-position model. The record is from RNAcentral.
UCUGAUGUGAAAUCCCGGGGCUUAACCCCGGAAGUGCUUUUGAAACUGGAUGGCUUGAGUAUGUCAGGGGCCAGCGGAAUUCCUGGUGUAGAGGUGAAAUUCGUAGAUAUCAGGAGGAACACCGGUGGCGAAGGCGGCUUCCUGGACCCAUUCUGACGCUGAGGCGCGAAAGCGUGGGGAGCAAACAGGAUUAGAUACCCUGGUAGUCCACGCCGUAAACGUUGAUCACUAGGUGUAGCGGGUUCGACCCUUGGGUGCCGCAGCUAACGCAUUAAGUGCCCCGCCUGGGGAGUACGGUCGCAAGGUUAAAACUCAAAGGAAUUGACGG